GACGAACGCUGGCGGCGUGCUUAACACAUGCAAGUCGAACGGCAAGGCCCUGCUUUUGUGGGGUGCUCGAGUGGCGAACGGGUGAGUAACACGUGAGUAACCUGCCCUUGACUUUGGGAUAACUUCAGGAAACUGGGGCUAAUACCGGAUAGGAGCUCCUGCUGCAUGGUGGGGGUUGGAAAGUUUCGGCGGUUGGGGAUGGACUCGCGGCUUAUCAGCUUGUUGGUGGGGUAGUGGCUUACCAAGGCUUUGACGGGUAGCCGGCCUGAGAGGGUGACCGGCCACAUUGGGACUGAGAGACGGACCAGACUCCUACGGGAGGCAGCAGUGGGGAAUAUUGCACAAUGGGCGGAAGCCUGAUGCAGCAACGCCGCGUGCGGGAUGACGGCCUUCGGGUUGUAAACCGCUUUCGCCUGUGACGAAGCGUGAGUGACGGUAAUGGGUAAAGAAGCACCGGCUAACUACGUG
This 468-nucleotide ribosomal RNA is filed under the name uncultured bacterium. RNAcentral's name for it is "partial 16S ribosomal RNA". It matches the Rfam family "Bacterial small subunit ribosomal RNA", at positions 28 to 507 of the family's 1533-position model. The record is from RNAcentral.